This 254-nucleotide ribosomal RNA is filed under the name uncultured bacterium. Its description in RNAcentral is "partial 16S ribosomal RNA". It matches the Rfam family "Bacterial small subunit ribosomal RNA", at positions 524 to 776 of the family's 1533-position model. The record is from RNAcentral.
UACGUAGGUGGCAAGCGUUGUCCGGAUUUAUUGGGCGUAAAGAGCUCGUAGGCGGUUCAGUAAGUCGGGUGUGAAAACUCUGGGCUUAACUCAGAGCCGCCACUCGAUACUGCUGUGACUUGAGUUCGGUAGGGGAGCGGGGAAUUCCUAGUGUAGCGGUGAAAUGCGCAGAUAUUAGGAGGAACACCGGUGGCGAAGGCGCCGCUCUGGGCCGAUACUGACGCUGAGGAGCGAAAGCGUGGGUAGCAAACAGG